AACGGCCGUACCAUGCUGAAUAUACCGGUUCUCGUUAGAUCACCGAAGUCAACCAUCAUUGGGCGCGGUCAGUACUUGGGUGGGUGACCACCUGGGAACACCGCGUGCCGUU
RNAcentral lists this ribosomal RNA (112 nucleotides) under Caerostris darwini. The record is from RNAcentral. Lineage: Eukaryota; Metazoa; Arthropoda; Arachnida; Araneae; Araneidae.